RNAcentral lists this ribosomal RNA (1163 nucleotides) under Triticum aestivum (bread wheat). Its description in RNAcentral is "partial small subunit ribosomal RNA". The record is from RNAcentral. Lineage: Eukaryota; Viridiplantae; Streptophyta; Magnoliopsida; Poales; Poaceae.
AAUUACACCACUAUUCAUUUGCACUACAUACGAUUAAGGUGAUUGUGCCACCUAAAUGCAGAUAUCUGAUCAGAAACUUAGAAAUUUUUAUACUGUCUUGGUGCCCAGUUCGCCGUGAUCCUCAAAAAUUACACCACUGUUCAUUUGCACUACAUACGUCCCCAUAAAAGAACGCGUGCUAAAAUAUGAAAUAUAUAGAAUAAUCACCAUGCGAUGAACCAUAGCAAUUGAUCAAGAGAAUACCUUCAGUAAUUCAGUAUCACGGUUAACUACUAGUAUCAAUAGAAUAUAUGGUAGAAGUUUAAGUUCCACAAAAACAUGGCGGCUGCUACAAAUCAGCCGAUUGAUUUGUUACAAAUUUAAGUCGCCCCCAGAGCCGUCCGAUCUGACACUCCCAGCCGCAGGAUCAGACAACACCACGACACAGUCAUGGCAGCAGCUCCAUGGCGGCACCGACGGCCCCCGGUGGCGCUCCAUUGCACCACUGACAACCCCGCCGCGGCGCUUCAUUGCAACUCCAGCGAUCCCUGCGGCGCUCCACUGCAGCGCCGGCCGUGGCGCUUCAUUCCAACUCCGGCAUCUCUGCGGCGCUCCACUGCAGCGCCGACCAAGGCGCUUCAUUGCAACUCCGGCGAUCCCCGCAGCGCUCCACUGCAGCGCCGGCCGCGUCGCUUCAUUGCAACUCCGGCGAUCCCCGCGGUGUUUCACUGCAGCGCCGGUCGUGCUCCAUUGUAGCGCCGACUAAGCUUCAACAGCCCCACGGCGCUUCAUUGAAACUCCGGCGAGCUUCGUUGCAACUCCGGCGGCAUUUCAAUCAACUCCGGCGGCGCUUCACUGCAGCUCCGGCGGCCCCGUGCUGCUUCAUUGCAACGCCGGCGAGCCCGCUCUACUUCACCUGUUGCACGCAGCUCCCGCCGGCCAUGACAGCAGCUUCCGCCCAGCCUAGCCUACGGCAGCACGAGGUGAGCGGUGACAGCGAUUUGCAGCAGCGGUGCAGCGACACUAGGCGACGACAGUUUGUAGCAGCGGUGCAGCAACGCGUGGUGGUGGCGGCGCUGGUCUACGACGACGGGCAACGGCGCUGGUGUGUGGGGCGGUGUGGAGAAGGAAGAAGAAGAGGAAGAAAGAACGAGCGGCUCAGCGCAUCGGGAGGAAGAGAUAAG